AGAUGAGAAAAUCAAAGCCCGUAUCAUCUGCUUCACGUCCCGCAUUUACUUAACGCUACCAGGCCUUCUUUUUCUUGAAGUGCUCUUUGAGCCUAUGUGGUUCCAGCAUGAGUCUCCUUGGGGGAUAUGUUAGGGGAUGCUGUCAGAACAACUACUUCUUGAGAAGUCCAAGGAACCGGCAGAAACCUUUACCAAAAAGAUGAUCAACUCAGAUACUGCUGCAGUGCAAAAGGACAGGCAAGGAGAAAGUAUUUUAAACACAGAAGGGAGUAAGGGAAACGGGAAGAAUACCACGUGCUUCUGCUAUGUCCUGUGUCACAGAAACAUCAGCAGCCACAACCAGACAGCCACACCCACCCCGGGAGCAAGAGCUGGGAAGAACCACAGCCCUGCGAGAGAAAUCUCACAGGCCAAUGGACCAAAAAGGGACAUGCAGUUUAAUAUUUUUCCUGCAAAAUGCAAUUUUAAAUAAUGACAAUAGAUCUAUAGAGAGAUAUAAAAUGAAAAAUCAUUUAUACCAAAUCUUAUGCCUCUUAUUCACUCCUUAACUCAUAUACUAAAAAUUCUUCAGCAUGCAGGCUCUGUAACAGGCCAUGAGUGUGCGUUUUUAAAACAGAAAGCAAAGCAGCCUAGCACAUUAUAGAAACUGGGAACCAGCCAGUACCACUACUCUUCUCCAAUCUACUUAGCUUUCUCAAAUGAAUUUUAGGGGAAAAGCAUAUUUUAAGGAACAAAAAUAAGUGUUGUUGCAAAAACAUGGGGCAAGAAAUUCCCCGAAAAGAUCUACUACAUAAAACUGCCUUAGAUAUCACAGUUCAUGCCAAUCAAAAAUCUUACAAAUAACUAGAUGGGUAUGUGUAUCAUCAGUAUGCUCUAGCUGUGCUGGCUCAUAGCACACGUUCAUGAAUAAACACAUGAGUGAGUGAAUGAAUGAAUGAGUUAAAGCUUAAGGGAACUCCCCUGAGAUUUUCAAUAUUGUCAUUUUUCAGUCGUUAAGUUGACGUGGUAGCAUAGUGCUAGCUAGUGGUCAUAUAAACUGUUAUGAGUCAGUAGCAUUGUGUUAUCAUACUGAUCUAAUUGUCUUUACUCUGCUUUUUCUCCACACGUAUUUACUUAUGAAUGCCAAGAGGCAAGGAAAGCUUAAAGCUCAAGAAUUUAAAUACAGAUUCCCCUUUGGGAAUGACGGAGAUGAGCUUCUCCA
RNAcentral lists this long non-coding RNA (1201 nucleotides) under Homo sapiens (human). RNAcentral describes it as "HSALNT0356948". Lineage: Eukaryota; Metazoa; Chordata; Mammalia; Primates; Hominidae. The record is from RNAcentral.